This 32-nucleotide non-coding RNA is filed under the name Homo sapiens (human). The record is from RNAcentral. Lineage: Eukaryota; Metazoa; Chordata; Mammalia; Primates; Hominidae.
GGCCAAUCACUGUGGCAACAAGUAUUGCCAGG